This is a non-coding RNA of Paramormyrops kingsleyae, 2662 nucleotides long. The record is from RefSeq and is a predicted model, not a curated record. Lineage: Eukaryota; Metazoa; Chordata; Actinopteri; Osteoglossiformes; Mormyridae.
UUGAAAUAGUUACUCUAUUUAAAAUGGAAUUGUAAUGAAUUACAUUUCCAAAGUAAUCUUCCCAACACUGCUCAGUACAGCGUGAUUUUCAGCUCAGAGUUGGGUCACAGCUAUAUUGCGUGUGUCACCAGAAACGAAACCAAAGUUCUGUGAGGCCAGACCGGUACCGGGCGUUACGGGAUGCCGUCGAUAAGAAAUUGCUGCAGUUAGUACAGCACGCUUUCGCGGGGGAGCAUAGUGAUUGGGCGGUGCCACCUGUAUGCAUUUCGAAGAGAGAUGAUUCGGUGCACAUGUAUAUGCGCAUAAGGUGAGACUUCUUUUCUAUGCUAAUGGGUGAAAAACAUUUUAUGAAACUGGAUUUGACGCAGGCUAAUACACAAUUGUAGUUGGAUGAGAAAAGUAAGCCAUUUCUCACCAUUAAUACACAGAGAGGUCUGCAUGUCACCAUUUGAAAAGUGUGUGGUGUGGCAACGUGUAUACUAAUGUCUCCACAUUUAACACAAUCUUAUAGUACGAAUGCCCAUGAACUCCUUGUGUAUGUCGUCCAACAAGGCCGGCACAUAUAUAGUGAAGAAAUCCUGGUGUACAAUGUGCACUCACUUCACCUCACAGCUGAUGCCACCACAUAUGGAUCAUUUGACACAUGCAUUGUGCUACCUGCACCACCUGAAAAAGAUGGUUAGAUCGGGAAACCAAGCCCUAAUUCAAGUAAUAAAACGGCUCCAAGAACGUUGACAGAUUCAAACGCCAACAACUGAAGAGGAACCAAUACAUAUGAAACAUCCUAAUAAUGUUUACAACAUCCUGCUGUGAAGUUCUAGAGAGGACCAACUCAGGAAAGCUCUUAUGUAGAGUUGAAAUCAUACCUUUCCAAGCCAUGUGAUUCAAAGAUCUAUAAACCUUUAUAUGUGGUCCAUGAAAGAUGGAGGUUCUAGGCAGAACAAGCUUACAAGGGAGGGCAAUGACCCUCGAAGAUGUUCUUUUCUAUCCUCCAUGAUCUUGCUUAACAAAUGAAAUUAAAUAUGUACAUAGUAUUAUUUUUUGUCAUUGUCAUAUAUUUUCUCAUUUCUUAAAUGCUAGUGCUAUUAACCCUCUUUUAAGGAGUGUUUUCCUUUUUGUAAGACAGGUCUGUUUCUACGUAAUUCUUUUUUUAAAAAAUAAGUCAAUUGCUGUGGCUCCUGCCUCCUGGGUAGCGGAGAUGAAAGGGGUAAGGAUACACACAUGUAAAAGUCCAUAAUUUGUGAAAAGUGACACGUGAUUAACUUUUUUGUGAAUUGUUUUAGGUUCUGAAUGUGUAAAUGGACUGUCUCAUCCAGAUUCAGGACAGAGAGUGAAAGUAAACAUGUGACUGCUAUUUCCUAUAUUGCUCCACUGUUAAUGUAAAUAGAUCAUAUCUCAUACUCUGCAUAUUCUGGAUCUUCCUGAAUGUAUAGGUGACGAUGAGGUGCCACUAAAACAGAGGAAAAAAUCAUCUCCUUGAAACCCCUCUCAAAAUCCACCAAGGGCUCCAUAAGAUUCCGAGUUAUAAACCAUCUACUCAAAGCACAACUGCCCCGAGUGUAACUUUUCAGAUGUUUAUCCUUCAAAUGGCAGCGUGAGGAAUGACCAUGACAGCACAGCCUGGCUCCCACCGCAGGUGGCACAAGUCAGCUCCACCUCUGCGUCCUGUAUCAGCACACAGCAGUAGUCAGCGAGGAGUGCCUUCUACCAGGACCAUUACGGCGCAACACUGCUGUGUGUCUGUACCAGCUAGACAAGAGUGCCGUCAGUGGUUGUACAAGUGUGUGUUUCUUUGGAAUACAGCUAGUUGUAGAUGCUGUGCAUGCAGAACCACAGACACCUUGAAAUAGUUCCCCAAGAGGUCUUGCACAGAGACGUGUGGGAUGACAUCCAAGGACAGAUGAUUGAAGUCCUCCACCCUGGUGGACUGUACUCCACAGCUGCCAGAAACCAAGAAGAAAAGAGAUACAAAGAAGCAGAGUAUUUCGUAAAUUUUGAAUCACAAACAACUGGACCUUCGAUAAGAACUGGAUCCCUGACACAGGUGUUUUACUGCUUAAUGUCUUUGUGGCAGCAGUAUGCAAGUGCUUCAGCCAGGUAUUUAAAACCAAUAAAACCUGCAGGGUGUACCUGGCACAAGUCUUCUGGCACAGCAUCUCAAAGCCCAGGUUUCCCUCAGCAGGACAGGUGUAGAUAGAUGUCCUCUCCCAGGCCUGGAUUACGUUUCCCAGUUCAUUCAGCCUGUAUAUCAGGCAGCUGAAGAACUCAUGGGCAUCCUAGAUGACUUAGGGGGGAUGUCCUGUGUCACCACUGGAGGGGACUGGUGCUCCUCUACACAGCUAUCGGUCGAGGAGGUGCUAGAUGUCAGUGACUUGGAGGAAACGAGAACAAAUUCUGUUUUAGACAGGGAAACCAAGAUACUGCUGUAUUCUAAAAUCACACUGGAACUAUCUCUGAUCUGUGUACCUCCGAGUUGACAACGGAGAGGCUGGGACUCUGGCCGCUCGAGAGUGCAUUGCUGUCUCCAGAGUCCCUGCAGUCACCUGACAACCCUCCGUCUUCGUCAGAGCUAGAACAGCCAGAACUGCCACCGUGAGCGGAGAGUUCAGGUAUGAAAGUGACUGAAAAAAGUUAGAGCUCUAAGGAAAACUGGGGCACUACC